RNAcentral lists this ribosomal RNA (331 nucleotides) under uncultured bacterium. Its description in RNAcentral is "bacterial SSU rRNA". It matches the Rfam family "Bacterial small subunit ribosomal RNA", at positions 32 to 352 of the family's 1533-position model. The record is from RNAcentral.
AAUCAACGCUGGCGGCGUGCCUCAGACAUGCAAGUCGAACGAUUAAAGCUCUCUUCGGAGAGUGCAUAGAGUGGCGCACGGGUGAGUAACACGUAAGUAAUCUACCUUCGAGUGGGGAAUAACGUCCGGAAACGGACGCUAAUACCGCAUAAUGCAGCGGCAUCGCAAGAUGACAGUCGUUAAAGGAGCAAUUCGCUUGAAGAGGAGCUUGCGGCAGAUUAGCUAGUUGGUAAGGUAAUGGCUUACCAAGGCUACGAUCUGUAACCGGUCUAAGAGGGACGGUCGGUCACACUGACACUGAAUAACGGGUCAGACUCCUACGGGAGGCAGC